CUUUCGAUAGCUCAGCUGGUAGAGCGGAGGACUGUAGAAAGGGACGUUUGUGGAUAUCCUUAGGUCGCUGGUUCGAUUCCGGCUCGAAGGA
RNAcentral lists this transfer RNA (91 nucleotides) under Loxodonta africana (African savanna elephant). It matches the Rfam family "tRNA". From Rfam's summary of the family: Transfer RNA (tRNA) molecules are approximately 80 nucleotides in length. Their secondary structure includes four short double-helical elements and three loops (D, anti-codon, and T loops). Further hydrogen bonds mediate the characteristic L-shaped molecular structure. tRNAs have two regions of fundamental functional importance: the anti-codon, which is responsible for specific mRNA codon recognition, and the 3' end, to which the tRNAs corresponding amino acid is attached (by aminoacyl-tRNA synthetases). tRNAs cope with the degeneracy of the genetic code in two manners: having more than one tRNA (with a specific anti-codon) for a particular amino acid; and 'wobble' base-pairing, i.e. permitting non-standard base-pairing at the 3rd anti-codon position. The record is from Rfam by way of RNAcentral. Lineage: Eukaryota; Metazoa; Chordata; Mammalia; Proboscidea; Elephantidae.